Molecule: long non-coding RNA, 762 nt
Organism: Amphiprion ocellaris (clown anemonefish)
Lineage: Eukaryota; Metazoa; Chordata; Actinopteri; Pomacentridae
Source: Ensembl
CGUCAUUCUGAUCCAGAAAAUUGAUCUAGACACCAGUCAGUUAGCCCAGGCCAAGCUUCACAAUAAUGUGUUUGUUUGUCUCCACACACCUGGGUCACCUGCCUCUCAGACUCCCUCACCUGACCCUGAUGUGUCAUCUAAGGCAGCUUUCAGUGAUGGAUUACCAGAAACCUCUGACCAUAGGGGGGUCUCAACCUCGGGUGGCCUGAAGGUGAAGCCCCUGGACAUGAGAUCUGUGGUCGAAUCUUUUCAAGGAGUCUGGGUCCUCCACGCAUUUACUGUUUCAGCGGUGCAUAGAAAGGAAAGCUGCAGAUGGAUGAAUGAUUGGACCCUACACUCUUCCAUUAGUGGAUCAACAUAACCUGGAGAAGAAUCAAUGUGUUUUUAUGCCAUUUUUCUCAUUUUGGUUGAGAAUAAUCAUUUGUAUUCUCGUUUGUAGAACAAUUUUUGGCCACAUAAGAAUGAUUUCACUUUUGAAGUAUGUUUAUUUUUUAUUUUAUAACACAUUUGGAACAUUUUGAUAAUUGAAAAAGAAUAUUACACAGAACAACAAUAGAAGAAUGUCAACAUCCAUUCUGUUGACAUUUUCCUACUCGUUUUCACUACUUCUUGUAUUUAUUGCGACUCUAUCUCUCCAAGUUUGUGCACUUCAUCUCCUCUUGUAUGAUAUCAGUGCUAAAGAGGUUGGGGUAGUAAUACAGACAUCACAAUUUCUUCAAAAGUGUAAAUUUUCAAUGGAAUGAUAUCAAAAACAUGUUUCUG